UACAGAGGGUGCGAGCGUUAAUCGGAAUUACUGGGCGUAAAGCGUGCGCAGGCGGUUUUGUAAGCCGGAUGUGAAAUCCCCGGGCUUAACCUGGGAACUGCAUUUGUGACUGCAUCGCUGGAGUGCGGCAGAGGGGGGAUGGAAUUCCGCGUGUAGCAGUGAAAUGCGUAGAUAUGCGGAGGAACACCGAUGGCGAAGGCAAUCCCCUGGGCCUGCACUGACGCUCAUGCACGAAAGCGUGGGGAGCAAACAGG
RNAcentral lists this ribosomal RNA (254 nucleotides) under uncultured bacterium. Its description in RNAcentral is "partial 16S ribosomal RNA". It matches the Rfam family "Bacterial small subunit ribosomal RNA", at positions 524 to 776 of the family's 1533-position model. The record is from RNAcentral.